Mus musculus (house mouse) is the source of this 2185-nucleotide long non-coding RNA. RefSeq annotates it as predicted gene 15169. The transcript is spliced from 2 exons. NCBI's taxonomy places the organism in Eukaryota, Metazoa, Chordata, Mammalia, Rodentia, Muridae. The record is from RefSeq and is a predicted model, not a curated record.
AGAAUCAUUUCAAAGUCAGUACCUAUGGGAAUAAAGUCUUGAAAGUGCCACUCUCCUGACCAGUAGGUGUUAGACCCCUCAGGAAUUCAUAAAAGGAAGACAGCAGGGAUGGUUUCCUUUGGUUUGCUUCCUAAACGGAAGUGCCUAAAAGUGUACAAAUGACUGAAAAAUGUUGUUUUCCUAGAACACAUAAGACUUUUUUUUUUAGUCCAUAUUGCAUAAAGACCAUAAUGGGCUUUGUGGCUCCUCCAUAUUCUCCAGGCUUCUACAGCUCAAGGACAGAUGUUCCAGCUACCAAUCUGUCAGCACGUACACACGUUUGACUGAGAGCUUUCCUGGCUCUGCACAGUGCGCUUUGCCCAAGGUGAAAGGUAACCCUCAAUCAAAGGGUUGGAGUUGGAGUGCAACCACCUCAGCUCCUUGAUUCCACGGCUGGGAUCUUUAGAAAGCUAUUGACUGAGCUGCAGAUAAAGUUGUGAGAGCACCCACAGCCAUUUUUAAGUGAUUGUUACCCUUUUCUCCCAGUGCAGCGCCAGGAGCUGAGAGACUCCACUUCUGCUCCAUGCUGGCCCACCCCGAGCCGAGAGCUGCUGGCAGAGGACUACGCUGUUGCUGAUCACAGUGGAGUAAAGAGCACAAAUAAAGGAUUAUGGAAGGACUGGGGCCUGAGUCACCUCAGGGGUCUCACCAUAUAGGGCUGCCUGCCUGACCUGGAACUUAACUAUUUAGAUAAGCCUGGCCACGAACACAGACCAAUCUGCCUGCCUCUGCCUUCUCAAUACUGGGAUUACAGACAUGGCUACCUCAUUCUGCUUGCUGUAUCAGGCAUCCCAAGGAAGUGUCUCCUGUCUCGAUCCUCUGUUUCCAGAAUCACAAUGUGUGAUUUCAGCUGGUUCACUAGAAUCAAAAAGUUGGCAAAUAACCAUAGUAUUUGAGGACCAGAGACUGUUACAUAAUCAUCCUUUGGUGGAGACAAUGAGGUCAUAUGUUUGCCCAUCUAAUUGCUGAUCAGGGACACGUUUGAUUGCAAAUAAUUUCCUCGCUGGCCCACAACUUAAUUACUAAGUGUCUGAAUCGACAAAGCUUUUAGAUGUAGGUCUUGCCUAAUGGUGCAUUUGUUAGAGAUCAUUGCCUUCAUUUGGCCCCUAAAUGAAAGGUCUCGGGGAUAUGACGGACCACUGCCAACACUGCUCCCAAUGACCUCAUAUUGGAAAAUAUGCCAAUUCCCACGGUUUAUUCUCUAGCCAGCAAUGGGCUUUAUUGUUUAUGUCCAGGGCCAAAGAGAAUGAGCGCCUCGGAAUGUCAGAUAUUGGUAAAACCUCUGGUGGAAGCACAAUUUUGGGGAAACUUGGUGUUACUCAACCUAGAGAAAAAGGUUUCUCAUUCCCAGUGUCACAAGGAAACUCGGUUGAGAGAAGUCGAGCAGGCAUGUGCAGCCUUUCAGCAUUUUCACCCAAUGUUGUCAUCUCCAGAGUUCAUGCUUGAGAAGCACACAAUCAAAUCAUACAUACAAAAAGUGUUUUAAGUAACUUUAUGAUUUUGUGUUAGCCUAUAUUCACAGCUAUCCUGUGCUAAAUGCAGCCUGUCAGUCAUGAGUUAAAUAUACGUGGGAAGAAAUAGGCAAGAGAGGAGUCUAUGGGUAGGCACCCACACAAUAGAAGAGGACCUAGCUAGAGAUGGAGGAGUCCCAUGGUUGUCCUACUUAGAGUAAUUUCUCCAGCUUAAGUGCUUCCCCCCAUCUCAUUAGACAUACAGGAAGGUAGCUUGCAUAGGAUCAUGGAUGACAUUAGUGUGUUCUACAAUGCUGUUGAAAAGAACUUCUCAGAACACUGCCCUGUCUAGAGCAAUGUAGAAGAGCAAAUGCUGAGAAGUCAGGGUAGAAAGGCAGGGCAAAUUAUGGAAACCCAGAAAUGUCCACCCAUAGAUAUUCGAAUGGUGAUUUAAAAAAAAAAAAAGAGGUACCUCACUCCUGGACAACUAUCAUCAUAGCCCUAAUGGCUUGUAAUGAAUUCAAGACUCAGAAAAACAUUAAUUUUUGAGGGUUAUAAAUUUCCUUUUUGGUGUUUUAACUGUUCAAAGUUUAAAGAAUCUUGCUCUAUGUACUAUUGUUAUCACUAAAGACCGCUAUGUUCUUUUCUAUUUCUUCAAUUGCAAUUUUCAAUAAACGCAACAAGCUUUUAAAUAA